CGGGGGCAGGGCCUGGGCGCCUCGCCAGACGCCAGGGCCUACCCCGACGGUUUCAGCGCCAGCUUCUGCGUGAGGUUUGGCUGUUCACAGCCCGUACUCCAGCUCAUCUUCUGGGAACAACCCGAGGAGGCAAGCCAGACGGUUGUUUUACUCUGAUGCCUUUGCAAAAUUGCUUUAUCUUCAAAGAGGCUCUUGGAAAGGAACCUACCAAGUUCUUUUGAACACUAAUACUGCUGCCAAAUUUUAAGGUGUUAAAUCUUGGGUGCAUAUUUCCUACCUAAAGAAGAGUACACUUGCCAUUUGGUCUCAUGCUAAUGUUGGAGAUCUCAAAAUCAGAUUGCUCAGGAAGAGAAGCAGCUGGCACCACCAGUUCCUAGGUGCUGACAUCAGACCUCUACCCUUCAGUCAGGAGAAGAAACCAGACCAACCAAAAGCAAAGAAGAGCUUAAAACAAUGGUCUCAGGGGUUCUCCAACUCACAGCCUACCCAGAUACCCAACAGUAAAAGAGCCUCCAAGUUGACAAGCCCCGUCCACCUGUGCAGAGCUUCCAGUCAGCAGCAUCAUCCCUACUCUUAUUCAUGAAUACUAAGGAUUUCUGGGAAUGUGAGGAAAGCUUUUAAUGUGAGCAAAGAGAUCUAAAUAAACAGAUUAGAGCAACUUAGAAAAAUAGUGGAUUCUGUGGCUUUUCCAAAAACUUAAUUUUCUGAGAGAUAACAUUCCACUCAAAACAAAAAAAAAAUAUUACUAAAAAGGAACAAUAAGAAAACAAAACAAAGCUCUCAGAAAUUAAAAGAAUAGUAAUAGGGUUAGAAAAUCAAUAGGACUGGAAGAUAUAGUUGAAGAAACCCCCCUUAUCCCAAAGUGGAACAAAAUAACAUAUGGGAAAAUAGGAGAGAAAAGAUUAAACAAAGCAGGUCAUUAGAGGAGGUCCAUCAUCUGAAUAGUAGGAGUUCCAGAAAAUGAGAGCAGGAAAAGAACAGUGGGGAAGCAAUUUGCAAUGAAGUAAUUACAUUUUCAGAACUGAAUAACAUUAAGAUUUUGAUCAGAAGGGUUCAGAGUGCCAAGCAGAUAGAAUGAAAACAGAGCAUCACCAUGGAUCACUGGGGGAAAACUACACUUCUAAGACCUUCAAGAAAGAAAAAAGUCUGGUCACAUAAAUAUGGCUAGAAGACCACAGAGCAAUGCCUCUAAAUUCCAAAUGAAAAUGAUACCAGACUGCAUGCUGUUAACUGUCAAUAAUGGGAGAAGGGUAAAGGCACUUUCAGACAUUUAAAAUCUUAAACAUUUUACCUCUCACACACAUUUAGAGAACCUACUCAGGGAGGAUGCCACCAAAAAGAGGGAACAAAUGAAACAAGGGAACAUGCAGGACAAAACCAGGAAACCCAAUAUAAGAGGUAAAGGGAGUCACUAGGAUGGUGACAUGCAGCAAGUGGAAGGAAACUCAUCAUAGUGUAGCGGGGCAAGGGCUCCAUGACUAUGCUGACCUUCUCCGCAAAGUGAAUGAUAGGCACAGGGAAAGUCAAUGGAACCAUCACUUUUAUUGCUGAAUGUUAAUGAUAGUGGAUGGCAGAGACUAUCAUGGUAUACGUUCCUAACAUGAAUGAUUUAAACAGAAGCUUUAGACUCUUUUCUUCAAAAUCUUAUUUAUUUAUUGAUGAGAGACACAGAGAGAGAGGCAGAGACACAGGCAGAGGGAGAAGCAGGUUCCUCUCAGGGAGCCUGAUGACCUGCCUGAUGACCUCCAUCCUGGGACCCUGGGAUCAUGCCCCGGGCUGAAGGCAGACGUUCAUCCGCUGAGCCACCCCGGCAUCCCUAGGACUCUCUUUUUCAAUCAAUAUCUUAGCAAGAGCAUUUUCCCCCCUAAAACUGAAAAGCAGAAAUAAACUUGCCUAAAUUGAGGAAUUCUGUAUAGUCAUACAUAACUAUAUAUGCAGAUACACAGGAAAUUGCUCACAGCAGUGGCCUAUAGGAGUGAUGGACCUCUUGGAAAGAGAUGCGACUUUGCCAUUCACCUUUUCAUUUUUUUGACUUAUGUGCCACAAAUAGUUAAUUGUUCAAUUAUAUUCUCUAAUUUAAAGAUGGACUGAAAAAAAACUGAUCAUGUACAGCAAGUAGUUUUAUAAAACUUGCCUCAGGUUUAAUUAAGUAUAUAAAACUGUAUUUAAUAUAUA
This is a long non-coding RNA of Canis lupus familiaris (dog), 2175 nucleotides long. RefSeq lists it as uncharacterized. The record is from RefSeq and is a predicted model, not a curated record. The transcript has 3 exons. Lineage: Eukaryota; Metazoa; Chordata; Mammalia; Carnivora; Canidae.